This 76-nucleotide ribosomal RNA is filed under the name Scophthalmus rhombus (brill). The record is from RNAcentral. Lineage: Eukaryota; Metazoa; Chordata; Actinopteri; Pleuronectiformes; Scophthalmidae.
UCGGAAGCUAAGAUAGGUUGGGCCUGGUUAGUACUUGGAUGGGAGACCGCCUGGGAAUACCUGGUGCUGUAAGUUU